CUCAGCCAUCAUAAUUUCUCGGACCACACACACUACUCUCAACCAUAGCCAGCCGGGCUCCAAACAACUACUGCAGUCCACUCGAUAUCUGCCACCCGGAAAAAGGAUCGAUACCUGUCUCUGCAGAGUAUGGAGAAAGCAUGGAGUGAAAGUACAAACUUUUCCAAUGGUCUGGUCUGGUCUGGUCUUUCUCCCCCACUAAAACUGUGUGGAUGGAUUCUGUUAGUAUCUCAAAACGAAAUCUCGCUCCUUCAUACUCAUGGGUCAUGCAUACGGGCACCACCAGAAGAAAAGAGUACGCGACACCACCCGCACUUAUGUAUGUAGACUGCCCGGAGAAUUGCAACGGAACAACCCGACUUGUUGUGUAGUGGAUAUUUGGAUAUAUGUGCCAAUCUUCAUUCACCAACCACCACUACUUAAUGAACAAGUAGAAUAAUAAACGUGGAAAUUGUAGUGCUUCAGAUGGACACACAGGGGAAAAAAAUACACGCAAACAUAAACCUACUAACUGUUUACAAAGUAGAAUUCUCGUUCGUGUUUCACUUUCUACUUGCAGAUUCAUGAAAAAAAAGAGAAAGUAAUACUUGUGAAGCUUGCAUUUGGAUGCAGAGGAGAAAGAGAGAUUGGGUUCCGUUCCUUCGUCGUUGUCGUUGUCGUCCACCAUCACCACCAAUUUUGCUGGGUUGGUUGCCUUUACUUGCAAAUACGUACGAGAGAAAUUCUGGAGAAAGUCUUGAGGGGAAAGUGGAUACUGCUUCUGGUCCAUGCAUGCGACUCAUGCGAGAAUCCCUUAAGAAAAAGGAGACUGUUUUGGGAACACAUUUACAUUCACGAGGUGAUGUCCUGGGUAAGUGGAACAAACACGAAAUCGCGAAAAAGGAACCUGAGUGAGUACGCCUUAACGAACACUAUUGUUGUUUGUAUGUAUGGAUGGUGAUGUGAACAACACGAGGGUAUAAAUAUAUAACAACUUUAUUUCGACUUGUCAGAGUCGUCAGUGUAUACUAACUAAUUACUGGAGAGGGAUAACAGUGGUUAACAGGGCAUAGAAAACUAUAGUAUUAUUCUGUAAAGGCUUCAAUUCUAAGAACUACGAAAUGUUUUGUAAUGAUUUAACUCACAAUAUGUAGUGGGUUAAAAAAACGGAAAAAAAAA
Molecule: long non-coding RNA, 1158 nt
Organism: Folsomia candida
Lineage: Eukaryota; Metazoa; Arthropoda; Collembola; Entomobryomorpha; Isotomidae
Exons: 2
Source: RefSeq, a predicted model, not a curated record